GACCCUGUAACUCAGUUGGUUAGAGUGUGGAGCUAAUACCACCGUGUUACUCCAAAGUCGCCAGUUCGAGCCUGGUCAGGGUCA
RNAcentral lists this transfer RNA (84 nucleotides) under Malassezia pachydermatis. It matches the Rfam family "tRNA". From Rfam's summary of the family: Transfer RNA (tRNA) molecules are approximately 80 nucleotides in length. Their secondary structure includes four short double-helical elements and three loops (D, anti-codon, and T loops). Lineage: Eukaryota; Fungi; Basidiomycota; Malasseziomycetes; Malasseziales; Malasseziaceae. The record is from Rfam by way of RNAcentral.